UACGAAGGGUGCAAGCGUUAAUCGGAAUUACUGGGCGUAAAGCGUGCGCAGGCGGUUCGUUGUGUCGGUGGUGAAAGCCCCGGGCUUAACCUGGGAAUGGCCAUGGAAACUGGCGAACUGGAGUGUGGCAGAGGGGGGUGGAAUUCCGCGUGUAGCAGUGAAAUGCGUAGAGAUGCGGAGGAACACCGAUGGCGAAGGCAGCCCCCUGGGCUAGCACUGACGCUCAGGCACGAAAGCGUGGGGAGCAAACAGG
This 253-nucleotide ribosomal RNA is filed under the name uncultured bacterium. Its description in RNAcentral is "partial 16S ribosomal RNA". It matches the Rfam family "Bacterial small subunit ribosomal RNA", at positions 524 to 776 of the family's 1533-position model. The record is from RNAcentral.